UAGGUUUUGUAAUGGGCGCGGCGGGGAGGCGGGGUGUGGAGGGGGAUGGAGGGAUCUGAGAGGAGGGAACUAGUCUUUCGAUGGUGGCGAGUGUGGGAAGGCUUGGCAGGUCAGAACCUUCUGAAAACCUGGGAAACUUUCUGAGGUCAGAAUCAACUGCUAUACCACUAUACCAACUACCGUACCACUGAGUGUCCUGCAGCAACCCAGUCAGAGGCUUUUGCAGCUGACUCCACAGAGGACUCCCCUGUGAACUGAGUGACCAAGUAUCACCUGGGUGACCUUGCAGGGUCUAGCCCCAUCCUGUGCUGGGCCUUUGCAGACCAUUUAUAGUUCACAAGGAGCACGGCCUUUAAGGAAAGGCCAUGAACACCAGAUGGGGUUAGGGUUUUGUGCCAAGCAGAUCAGCACGAGAGACAUCCAUCCCCAGAAAGGAACUGUGUUUUCAAGUACACAUCUCUCCUUUUAGAGCACGCUAUAAUGGAGUACAUGGCACUAAAAGAAGUACAGCCAUGCUGGAUGUACUAUACAUUUAAUUAAUCCCACUGAACAAACAGGAAGUGAGGUAGAGCCCCACAAUAGUCCAGAAUCAGAACUAGAGUAACUCGGCCAAAAAGUCUCUGUUAAGUUUUUUAAUAAUUCAGGUCAAAAUGAGUUUCAAUCAGUUAACUCAUAAUCAACAGGUUGCCUGUUUUUCUUUUUCCUCACCUACCGCCCUAUUC
This is a non-coding RNA of Equus caballus (horse), 722 nucleotides long. The record is from RefSeq and is a predicted model, not a curated record. NCBI's taxonomy places the organism in Eukaryota, Metazoa, Chordata, Mammalia, Perissodactyla, Equidae.